This 255-nucleotide ribosomal RNA is filed under the name uncultured bacterium. RNAcentral's name for it is "partial 16S ribosomal RNA". It matches the Rfam family "Bacterial small subunit ribosomal RNA", at positions 524 to 776 of the family's 1533-position model. The record is from RNAcentral.
AACGUAGGACGCAAGCGUUAUCCGGAGUUACUGGGCGUAAAGAGCUCGUAGGCGGUUUGGUAAGUCGGGUGUGAAAUCUCCACGCUCAACGUGGAGGGGCCACUCGAUACUGCCAUGACUCGAGUCCGGUAGAGGAGUGUGGAAUUCCCGGUGUAGCGGUGAAAUGCGCAGAUAUCGGGAGGAACGACCCGUAGCGAAGGCGGCACUCUGGGCCGGAACUGACGCUGAGGCACGAAGGCCAGGGGAGCAAACGGG